Small nuclear RNA from Ailuropoda melanoleuca (giant panda), 107 nucleotides. Lineage: Eukaryota; Metazoa; Chordata; Mammalia; Carnivora; Ursidae. The record is from Ensembl.
GUGCUCACUUCGGCAGCACAUAUACUAAAAUUGGAACCAUACAGAGAAGAUUAGCAUGGCCCCUGCGCAAGUAUGACACGCAAAUUUGUGAAGCAUUACAUAUUUAA